Molecule: ribosomal RNA, 459 nt
Filed under: uncultured bacterium
Lineage: Bacteria
Description: partial 16S ribosomal RNA
Rfam family: Bacterial small subunit ribosomal RNA
Source: RNAcentral
CCUACGGGCGGCAGCAGUGAGGAAUAUUGGUCAAUGGCCGAGAGGCUGAACCAGCCAAGUCGCGUGAGGGAAGACGGCCCUAUGGGUUGUAAACCUCUUUUGUCGGGGAGCAAAGAGAGUCACGUGUGACCCAUCGAGAGUACCCGAAGAAAAAGCAUCGGCUAACUCCGUGCCAGCAGCCGCGGUAAUACGGAGGAUGCGAGCGUUAUCCGGAUUUAUUGGGUUUAAAGGGUGCGCAGGCGGAUGUGCCAGUCAGCGGUGAAAUUGCGGGGCUCAACCCCGUACUGCCGUUGAAACUGCAUCCCUUGAGUGCGCGAGAAGUAUGCGGAAUGCGUGGUGUAGCGGUGAAAUGCAUAGAUAUCACGCAGAACUCCGAUUGCGAAGGCAGCAUACCGGCGCGCAACUGACGCUCAUGCACGAAAGCGUGGGUAUCGAACAGGAUUAGAUACCCGGGUAGUC